This is an RNA transcript of Globicephala melas (long-finned pilot whale), 4827 nucleotides long. It is a transcript of the gene named ring finger protein 2, with no coding region annotated. The record is from RefSeq and is a predicted model, not a curated record. Lineage: Eukaryota; Metazoa; Chordata; Mammalia; Artiodactyla; Delphinidae.
UCCUUCCCGCCCUCUCCGCUGCCCCGGCCGAGCCGGCUUCCCCUCGGUCUCUCAUGAAUAUUGAGCGGCCCCUGUUGUAUUUCCCGAGCUCCAUUGCGGAAGCCGAGGCUCGCCAUAUUGUGCGGCGGCGCCGGCAGCCGCGGCACACUGUACCUGAGUCUCGCUCCGGCCGCGGCUAGCGCAGCCCGGGACUGGAGCAGGAGCCGCAAUGUCUCAGGCUGUGCAGACAAACGGAACUCAACCAUUAAGCAAAACAUGGGAACUCAGUUUAUAUGAAUUACAACGAACACCUCAGGAGGCAAUAACGGAUGGCUUGGAAAUUGUGGUUUCACCUCGAAGUCUACACAGUGAAUUAAUGUGCCCAAUUUGUUUGGAUAUGUUGAAGAACACCAUGACUACAAAAGAGUGUUUACAUCGUUUUUGUGCAGACUGCAUUAUCACAGCCCUCAGAAGUGGCAAUAAAGAAUGCCCUACCUGUCGGAAAAAGCUAGUUUCCAAAAGAUCACUAAGACCAGACCCAAACUUUGAUGCACUCAUCAGCAAAAUUUAUCCAAGUCGUGAUGAGUAUGAAGCUCAUCAAGAAAGAGUAUUAGCCAGGAUCAACAAGCACAAUAAUCAGCAAGCACUCAGUCACAGCAUUGAGGAAGGACUGAAGAUACAGGCCAUGAACAGAUUACAGCGAGGCAAGAAACAACAGAUUGAAAAUGGUAGUGGAGCAGAAGACAAUGGAGACAGUUCUCACUGUAGUAAUGCAUCCACACAUAGCAAUCAGGAAGCAGGACCUAGUAACAAACGGACCAAAACAUCUGAUGAUUCUGGGCUUGAGCUUGAUAAUAACAAUGCAACAGUGGCAAUUGAUCCAGUAAUGGAUGGUGCUAGUGAAAUUGAAUUAGUAUUCAGGCCUCAUCCCACACUUAUGGAAAAAGAUGACAGUGCACAGACAAGAUACAUAAAGACUUCAGGUAAUGCCACUGUUGAUCACUUAUCCAAGUAUCUGGCUGUGAGGUUAGCUUUAGAAGAACUUCGAAACAAAGGAGAAUCAAACCAGAUGAACCUUGAUACAGCCAGUGAGAAGCAGUAUACCAUUUACAUAGCAACAGCCAGUGGCCAGUUCACUAGAAGCAAGUUAAUGGAGCUUGAGCCCUGCCUUGAUGUGUAGUGAAAGAUAAUUCUGUAGAAGAAUGUCAGCCAGCAUGGAGUUCUCGAUAUAUUCUGGAUAUUAAUCUGUCAUCAGAUACAUGAUUUACAGGGGACGUGAGUUCGAUCCCUGGUCGGGGAACUAAGAUCCUACAUGUCACGGGGCAACUAAACCUGCGCGCCACAACUACUGAGCUCACCCACCUCUACUGAAGAGCCUGCGUUCUGCAAACUACAGAGUCUAUGUGCUCUGGAGCCCACGCCACAACUAGAGAAGAGAAAACCCGCAUGUCACAACUAUAGAGAAGCCUGCAUGCCACUACGAAGAGCCUGCGCACCACGAGUGCUGCAACAAAAUAUCCCACAUGCCGCAAUGAAUAUGCUGCAUGCUGCAACAAAGACCCAACCCAGCCAAAUAAACAAAUAUUAAAAAAAAAAUCCAACUGGCUCAGAGGAUGUGAUCAGCUUAAAAUCACUACUUCAUCACUUUUACCAUAUUUACAGAGACAUUACUAAUGAUGAUGAUGAUGGUAGUAGAAGUGGUAAUAAUACAAUAAUGAUGAUACUGAGUACUUUUAUAGCAUUUGCUAUAUACCAGACACUGUUCCAAUUUCUUUACAUGUAUUAAUUUACCUAAUCUUCACAUUAUUUUAUGGUGGGUACCCUCCUUUAGAUAGAUGAGGAAACUGAAGCUUAAAUUUCCUGUGGUUAGACAGCUAACACGUUAUAAAGCUGGGAUUUGAAUGCAGCCAGUUUGAUUCCACAGUCCAUGUUUUUCACCACUAGUUCUCCCUGAGGAGAGGAACAUGAGAGCUAAGUCAUGCUUUCAUCCCAUUGGUACAAACUUCCCAAGAAUACACUCCUAUAACCUUUAAGAAGUAAGAUGUGGAUUAGGUACAAGUGGCUUCUUAGAAAUUUUCUACUUUUUCCAUUAUCUUUUCUCUACUGUUAAGUCCUUUUGGGAAAAAUGUUCUCAAUCUUUAAAAUUUCACCUUACCCCACUGCCUAAUGACUAAGCAAUAUUUACUGCAUCACAAAAAAGAGACAACCAAAUACCAACUGAUAGCUGAUUGCAGUAGAUGUGUAUUCUUGCAAAAAAAAAAAUAUCCUAUCUGAAUCUGCAAACCUGAAGAUCCAACUACCAAUUUACAGAAAUAUGAGAGACAGAGGAACCAUGUGAUGGUUCAUCUUAUAUGAACCAUGGUGAUGCAAUCAGCAAAAAUCUAGACUGUGGGAAACUCUACAGGGCAAAUGACCUGUUAUAUCAACAAAUAAUUAUCACACAUACACACAAAAUGAUGGAAGGUAAUAUAGAUUAAGAAGAGACUUAAGAGACAUACUAAACAACUGAAAUAUAUAGUCUUUGUUUGGAUUCAGAUUUGAAUUUAAAAAAAAUUAUGAAAUAGGUAUAUCUAAACAUUUGAUGACAUUAAAGAAUUAUUCUUAAUUUUUUAGGUGUGAUAUGGUAUAUGGGUUUUAAUUGUAAAAAGUCCUUGUCUUUUACAUAUCCCAUUGAAAUAUUUACGGAUGAAAUGAUCUGUGAUUUGUUUCAAAAUAAUGGGGAUAUAGAAUGGAGGAAUGAGGUAUGAGGGAAAGUGCAUGGGAAUACAUAUAUAAGACUGAGUAUGAAUUGGUAAUUUCUGAAGUGAGUGAUGGAUAUAAAGGGAUUCAUUUAUUAUAUGCUCUACUUUUGUAUAUAUUUGAAAAUUUUCCAUAAUAAAAAAAUUUACCUUGGAUCUUUUUUUUAUAUCAAAAUAUUUUGCUACAUAUGAUAUCCAUAUAAAUUUCCUAAGAAAAGAUACUGUACCAGAAGGUGGGCAAAAGGUACAAAUUUCCAAUUAUAAGAUAAAUAAGUACUAGGGAUGAAAUGUACAACAUGAUGACUAUGUAUAGGUAACACUGUUAUAUAGGAACAUCAAGAGGGUAAAUGCUAAGAGUUCUCAUCACAAGGAGAAAUAUUUUUUCUUCUUUCUUUUCUUCUUAUGGUAUUGUAUCUACAUGAGAUGAUGGAUGUUAGCUGAACCUACUGUGGUAAUCAUUUCACAAUAUAUGUAAAGCAAAUCAUCAUGCUGUACACCUCAAACGUGUACACCUGUACAGUGAUGUAUGCCAAUUGUUUCUCAAUAUAACUGGGAAAAAAAUCUCUUCAGGUUCACAUGAUAUAAACAAACCCUUAGUUUUCAAAGUGGCUAAACAACAAGAAAAAAAAAGGGAAAGAAAAGAUACUGUACAGAUCUGAUAAAGUGGGGUUCCAAAAAGGCUUCAUUACUUACCAGUAGCUCCAAAGGCAUCUAGACAUUCCAAAGGUUUUCGUUCCUUAGCCAAAGCAGCCAGUGUACAGAAUAUUAGCUGCCUAGAAGAAAGUAUAACAAUCAAGUAAUUUUACGGCACCAUGGUUUCAUCAUUGUAGAUUUUAUUUUAAGAAUAGUGAGAAAUGGGGCUCCUAUUUACUAUGCAAACUAUUUUGGAAAGAGACCUAAUAUUAUAUUCCUUACUUAACAGAACAAGAACUAAAAAUCUGUGAAAUUAAACUACAAAUCAAAUUGGGUUUUAUUAACAAGUAUUCACGAUGAAUAAUGAUUUUAUAAAUAAAACUUGCCCACAAACUUGCCCAACAUGUUCAUUUAAUUAUAUAAAGUUAGACCUGUUUUACUCUCUGAGAAAGAAAUUGGUUUGGCAGAAAAAUAAAAGAGAGAAAACAAUCAUUCUGAGAAAAUGCUAAUAAAAUAAAUGAUUUUCAAUCUAUACCUAGUUUUGUUUCAAUAUAUUAAAACAAAAAGAUUAGGAAAAGGUACAUCUGUAAUUAUUUGAAACAUCCCAUAACCCUGUUUUCAAUUUACCUUACCGAUUUAGUUUCAUUUUGGGAUUAAAAUAGGAAUCUGUUUUCUGAGGUACAGAAUAGUUGGGACAAACUUGUACAUCUGUGUCUGCCUCUUUCAAAAUUUCAUUAGGUGGUUUGGCAGCAGAAGCUAAAAUUACAAAAAAAAAAAAAGAUUUCCAGUGAAAUACAAAAUAAUUCUAAAUAUCAAAAACAAUAUACAUUAAAAAAAUAACCUUCCUUUAUAAUAUUUCAUGUUAAUGAAAUCAGUUGAGUAGAUGCCAAAAAAGUCCCCCCAAACUGACCUACCUAGCACUGUCUCUGGAAAAGAGUAGUACUCAGUUAAGUAUUUGGUGAAUUAAAGUUUGUCAGCUUAAAAUCUUAACUGUCUAGCACAUCAAUAUAUCUGUAUACCUAGUUAAGAAUAAUCAACCGAAGAUAGUACAAAAUCCUAAAAUACCUUUAUUACUCAUCAAACACUACAUUGUGUUUAUAUAGGUUGGUUGCUAAAUAUAUUUUAUUGUGGUUUAAACAUUAGAAAAUUAACCUUUCUGUGUAGUUACAUUCCAUUAGCCGGCAUGGAUAACUAAGAGUCACUAUAUUUCCUGAAUGUGCUUGACUUCAGAACACUUUCUCAUAAUUAUGAUUUUAAAUCACAAAUUAUAUUCAAACAGCUAUAAGCUAAUGUAAAAAAAUUAUUCUAUAUUUAAUAUACAUUAGAAUCAUUUAGCUAUAAACCCAAAUGAAACAGUGAUGUUUGUGUGAAUAUAUUUUAAAUAUUUAAGAAAGGAAACAUAUGUAAUAUGUGUGGGGGAAAUAUAAUUGAGAUUCUCUAUGUUUGGAUUUCUUGAUAACAUUACUAUCAGAAUGUU